Molecule: ribosomal RNA, 498 nt
Filed under: uncultured bacterium
Lineage: Bacteria
Description: partial 16S ribosomal RNA
Rfam family: Bacterial small subunit ribosomal RNA
Source: RNAcentral
AUUGAACGCUGGCGGCAUGCCUUACACAUGCAAGUCGAACGGUAACAGGUCUUCGGAUGCUGACGAGUGGCGAACGGGUGAGUAAUACAUCGGAACGUGCCUAGUAGUGGGGGAUAACUACUCGAAAGAGUGGCUAAUACCGCAUGAGAUCUACGGAUGAAAGCAGGGGAUCGCAAGACCUUGUGCUACUAGAGCGGCCGAUGGCAGAUUAGGUAGUUGGUGGGAUAAAAGCUUACCAAGCCGACGAUCUGUAGCUGGUCUGAGAGGACGAUCAACCACACUGGGACUGAGACACGGCCCAGACGCCUACGGGAGGCAGCAGUGGGGAAUUUUGGAAAAUGGGCGCAAGCCUGAUCCAGCAAUGCCGCGUGCAGGAUGAAGGCCUUCGGGUUGUAAACUGCUUUUGUACGGAACGAAAAGCCCUGGGUUAAUACCCUGGGGUCAUGACGGUACCGUAAGAAUAAGCACCGGCUAACUACGUGCCAGCCGCCGCCGUAA